UUCGCCCUUAGAGUUUGAUCCUGGCUCAGAGCGAACGCUGGCGGCAGGCUUAACACAUGCAAGUCGAGCGGGCGUAGCAAUACGUCAGCGGCAGACGGGUGAGUAACGCGUGGGAACGUACCUUUUGGUUCGGAACAACACAGGGAAACUUGUGCUAAUACCGGAUAAGCCCUUACGGGGAAAGAUUUAUCGCCGAAAGAUCGGCCCGCGUCUGAUUAGCUAGUUGGUGAGGUAACGGCUCACCAAGGCGACGAUCAGUAGCUGGUCUGAGAGGAUGAUCAGCCACAUUGGGACUGAGACACGGCCCAAACUCCUACGGGAGGCAGCAGUGGGGAAUAUUGGACAAUGGGGGCAACCCUGAUCCAGCCAUGCCGCGUGAGUGAUGAAGGCCCUAGGGUUGUAAAGCUCUUUUGUGCGGGAAGAUAAUGACGGUACCGCAAGAAUAAGCCCCGGCUAACUUCGUGCCAGCAGCCGCGGUAAUACGAAGGGGGCUAGCGUUGCUCGGAAUCACUGGGCGUAAAGGGUGCGUAGGCGGAUCUUUAAGUCAGAGGUGAAAGCCUGGAGCUCAACUCCAGAACUGCCUUUGAUACUGGGGAUCUUGAGUUCGGGAGAGGUGAGUGGAACUGCGAGUGUAGAGGUGAAAUUCGUAGAUAUUCGCAAGAACACCAGUGGCGAAGGCGGCCCACUGGCCCGAUACUGACGCUGAGGCACGAAAGCGUGGGGAGCAAACAGGAUUAGAUACCCUGGUAGUCCACGCCGUAAAC
RNAcentral lists this ribosomal RNA (764 nucleotides) under uncultured bacterium. RNAcentral's name for it is "bacterial SSU rRNA". It matches the Rfam family "Bacterial small subunit ribosomal RNA", at positions 1 to 807 of the family's 1533-position model. The record is from RNAcentral.